CCAUAUGAUGUCAGCUCUACAUGUUUCAUAGAUGCUAUUCCUGAGGUUGAGGCAGUUUUCUUCCAUUCCUAGAUUGCUAAGAUUUCCACAUAUCAAUGAUGAAUAUUGUCAGAUGCCUUUUCUCUAUCUUUUAAGGGACGUGAGCCUCGAGCGGAUCGGCACCGAGUGACUGCCCAGCCUGGGCCUCCGGCAGCACCGCAGCUACGUCAUGGAGUGCCUUGUGGACACGCGGAUGCUGGACCACUUGACCAAGAAAGACCUUUGCGGACAGCUGAAAAUGGUUGAUAGUUUUCACAGAAACAGUUUGCAGUGUGGAAUUGUGUGCCUGUGAAGGUUGAAUUAUGACCGAAAAGAACUGGAAAGGAAAAGAGAAGAAAGCCAGAAUGAACUAGCACAGAAUGAAAGGCUAGUACAGUCCUAUUUCUCGGUUCCCAGUGUACAAGCCGCCUCAGAGGUUUCCUGUUGGAAAGAAAAACUCAGGACAUGCUUUCCGAGGAGAAAUCACACCUCGCAUCAUUACAGGGGAGGGGGUGGGAAGGAGUGUUUGAGAUCGGCCUCUGUGGCCAGAGAACUUGUGCUCUGCCCUCGGGCCCACAUCGCUCUGCAGCUUGUGUGUCUUGAGGGGAGAGCACUUCCCCACGACUCUGGAGAUCUCCCUGUGACUGUGCCAUGCGUCCUGUUCCACU
This is a long non-coding RNA of Cervus elaphus (red deer), 686 nucleotides long. RefSeq lists it as uncharacterized. The record is from RefSeq and is a predicted model, not a curated record. NCBI's taxonomy places the organism in Eukaryota, Metazoa, Chordata, Mammalia, Artiodactyla, Cervidae. The transcript is spliced from 3 exons.